GAGAACCGUAUCUGCAAACUUGUUUCACUUUUUAAAAAGUGGGCCUUUUCUUGAUCAGAAAAUAGCUUUCAGAGGCAAGUUUCUCCCUGUGAAGGAAACCCAUUCUGUGCAAAUGAUCAUUUCUGCAAAAUUGCCCUGGGCUGGUCCUUAGCCAGUCUGCCUGAGUUGACCUGAAUGCCUGCUGAGUCUGAGCUGGGGGCCUUAGGGGUUUGCUCAUCAAGGAGCUUACAAGUGAGUGGGUGGGUGUGGGUACAGAGGGACACUUGGGACCAGGCGGUGCCCUUGCCACACCCACCUAAUUUGCAGGGCGAGGGAAGAGCAGGGUGGGCCAGGAGAGGGAGGAAGGGAGGGAGGGAGAAGGGCUGGAGUAGAGUGCGCCUGGGAACUGGCACGGAGGGGACCGGGCCAAGCAAGCAGUGCCCCUCCAUCAGAGGAGAGCCAGGGAGCCCUUUGGGUGAGGUCGUCUUGGGAUCCCUACUGCCUUCUGGACUUUAUGGAUCUAAAAAGGCUAAGUAUGUGUUGAUGAUCGUGUGUGUGUGUGUGUGUGUGUGUGUGUGUGUGUGUGUUGCUUGUUUUGGGGGAGGGGGAAGUAAGCUCCUCUGGGUUCAUCUGGGGGUGGGGGACAGCCUGCAGUAACUCAAGAAAUGCCUUCUGUGGCAAAGUCCUCUAGGUCAUCAGUGGAGAUGAUGCCCAGGCCUGGAGCUUCUACACCCUCCUCUCCUGGGCUCUGGGGAGGACCAUGAGGGCGCUGGCCUGCAGAGUGCGGGGUGCAGUCACCGUGUGGACAAAAAGUGACUCUUGAAACCUGGUGUUUGCUCUUCCCAACAGUUUUCGGGCUGCCAUGGGGGUGGCUGGUCUUCUAUGUCACCCUCGGGUAAAGCAAUGGUGGGGAUGUGCCAUGGGGCUGCCAGCUUCCCUGAGUCUGCAGAACCGCUCUUGCAAUUGCUUGCCACGAGGCCAGGUGCAGCAUCUGGUGGUGCCUUCACCCGGUCCCCCUCUCCCACCAGAGGCAUAGAUGGGAAAUUCCCCUUUGGGGCUGGCUGAGAGGCCUCCAUCCUGGCCAUGCUCGACCCCUGCCCAGGGUCCUCCAUGACCUCGUUGGCCAUGCACUUCACACGUGUGCCCCGUGUGUUAGUGGGUGUCGAUGUACCAAGAAUGUCCUGGUUUUCGGGGGCACAAAACCCAGGAUCCUCACCCCAUUCUGGCCUUGGCAAUUCCUCCUCUUUGUGGCCACUGCUGAGGGAGUCCUCCAAGGACAUGGUCCUCAGGAGAGGCAGCAUGAUAGGUUUAAUUACGGGGGUAGCUCUGAGGGUGUUGUCUUUAAUCGUAAACAGCAUGUGCCUGUUUGAAGCAGAAGAUGGUGAGGGAGUAAGGUCUUUGGCCUGUGAAAAGGUUGUGCCCUUAUUUUCCCCAAUCCAAGAGCCUCUGAAAUUAGCUUCCUCUGCUGAUGCCUUCCUGGUUCUUCCUCCAGACACACUUUCCCUUUCUCUUUGCAAUGCUUCCCCCUGGCUGCGGUUUUCCAGGCAUGCGUGCCCAUUGCUUAAGGCACAGUACUGCAGCUCAUCCUUCCGCAUCACAUUCUCCUUCUCAUCCUUCUGACUGUCACCUGCACUCACAUCCUUCCUCCUGUCUUCCCGCUGGUUCUCAGUAAACCACAUCUUCUGCUGAUCAUCAAAUGAGGCAAAGGAUUGAUCUGAAGAGCUGGUGCUGAAUUUGGCCUUACCUUUGAGGCUUGGCAUAAAAUCGGAUUGGCUGUCACUGUAAAACACAUCUUCCUCCUCAGGAGAGAGGGGCCCUGGGAAGAAUUUCUGGUUCAAAUGUGUGUUCUGAAGUCCUGCUUCCCUCUCAGGUUCUGUCUCUUGGGACACAGAUCUGGAGAGCCCAUUCUCUAGCUGGUGGGUCUUCAUUUUCUCUGUAGCCCCUCCAGGCUCAGGAUCCCUAUUGCAAAGCCUCAGGGAGAGGUGUUUCCUGGGGCGGUGUUCCCUGGAGUCUGCAGAGGGCUCACUGGGGUCAGCUGUAGGGUCCUUCUGGGGAUUGAUGUGUGAUGCAGUGGGGUCAUCAGCGGGUCUCUCCUUAGAAAGCUCAUUUGGAGGGCUUUCCUCAAGC
This 2106-nucleotide long non-coding RNA is filed under the name Homo sapiens (human). RNAcentral's name for it is "non-protein coding lnc-DRGX-1:1". The record is from RNAcentral. Lineage: Eukaryota; Metazoa; Chordata; Mammalia; Primates; Hominidae.